This 1148-nucleotide ribosomal RNA is filed under the name uncultured bacterium. RNAcentral's name for it is "bacterial SSU rRNA". It matches the Rfam family "Bacterial small subunit ribosomal RNA", at positions 338 to 1501 of the family's 1533-position model. The record is from RNAcentral.
CCUACGGGAGGCAGCAGUGGGGAAUUUUGCGCAAUGGGGGCAACCCUGACGCAGCGACGCCGCGUGAGUGAUGAAGGCCUUCGGGUUGUAAAGCUCUGUCUAGGGGGAAGAUAGUGACGGUACCCCUGGAGGAAGCCCCGGCUAACUACGUGCCAGCAGCCGCGGUAAGACGUAGGGGGCGAGCGUUGUCCGGAAUUAUUGGGCGUAAAGGGCGUGUAGGCGGCUUUUCAAGUCAGCUGUGAAAUUCCUCGGCUCAACCGGGGGUCUGCAGUUGAGACUGUUAAGCUUGAGUGCAGGAGAGGAGGGUGGAAUUCCCGGUGUAGCGGUGAAAUGCGUAGAUAUCGGGAGGAACACCGGUGGCGAAGGCGGCCUUCUGGCCUGUAACUGACGCUGAGGCGCGAAAGCUAGGGGAGCAAACAGGAUUAGAUACCCUGGUAGUCCUAGCUGUAAACGAUGGGUACUAGGUGUAGGGGGUUUAGACGCUCUCUGUGCCGUAGUUAACGCAUUAAGUACCCCGCCUGGGGAGUACGAUCGCAAGGUUGAAACUCAAAGGAAUUGACGGGGGCCCGCACAAGCGGUGGAGCAUGUGGUUUAAUUCGACGCAACGCGAAGAACCUUACCAGGGCUUGACAUUUGCCUGACGUAUCUUAGAGAUAGGGUAUUUCUUUCGGGACAGGCAAACAGGUGGUGCAUGGUUGUCGUCAGCUCGUGUCGUGAGAUGUUGGGUUAAGUCCCGCAACGAGCGCAACCCUUAUUCUUAGUUGCCAGCACGUGAUGGUGGGCACUCUAAGGAGACUGCCGGUGACAAACCGGAGGAAGGUGGGGAUGACGUCAAAUCAUCAUGCCCUUUAUGUCCUGGGCUACACACGUGCUACAAUGGCCGGUACAACGGGUUGCGAGACCGCGAGGUUUAGCCAAUCCCUUAAAGCCGGUCUCAGUUCGGAUUGCAGGCUGCAACUCGCCUGCAUGAAGUCGGAAUCGCUAGUAAUCGCGAAUCAGCACGUCGCGGUGAAUACGUUCCCGGGCCUUGUACACACCGCCCGUCACACCACGAAAGCUGGCAACACCCGAAGCCGGCGACUCAACCGUAAGGAGAGAGCCGUCGAAGGUGGGGUUAGUGAUUGGGGUGAAGUCGUAACAAGGUAACC